CCUACGGGAGGCAGCAGUGGGGAAUAUUGGACAAUGGGGGCAACCCUGAUCCAGCCAUGCCGCGUGUGUGAAGAAGGCCCUCGGGUUGUAAAGCACUUUCAGUGAGGAAGAACGCCUGGUGGUUAAUACCCAUCAGGAAAGACAUCACUCACAGAAGAAGCACCGGCUAACUCCGUGCCAGCAGCCGCGGUAAUACGGAGGGUGCGAGCGUUAAUCGGAAUUACUGGGCGUAAAGCGCGCGUAGGUGGCUUGAUAAGCCGGUUGUGAAAGCCCCGGGCUCAACCUGGGAACGGCAUCCGGAACUGUCAAGCUAGAGUGCAGGAGAGGAAGGUAGAAUUCCCGGUGUAGCGGUGACAUGCGUAUAGAUCGGGAGGAAUACCAGUGGCGAAGGCGGCCUUCUGGACUGACACUGACACUGAGGUGCGAAAGCGUGGGUAGCAAACAGGACUAGCUACCCUGGUAGUC
This 465-nucleotide ribosomal RNA is filed under the name Vreelandella stevensii. RNAcentral's name for it is "partial 16S ribosomal RNA". It matches the Rfam family "Bacterial small subunit ribosomal RNA", at positions 338 to 795 of the family's 1533-position model. Lineage: Bacteria; Pseudomonadati; Pseudomonadota; Gammaproteobacteria; Oceanospirillales; Halomonadaceae. The record is from RNAcentral.